RNAcentral lists this ribosomal RNA (441 nucleotides) under uncultured bacterium. Its description in RNAcentral is "partial 16S ribosomal RNA". It matches the Rfam family "Bacterial small subunit ribosomal RNA", at positions 338 to 795 of the family's 1533-position model. The record is from RNAcentral.
CCUACGGGUGGCAGCAGUGGGGAAUAUUGCACAAUGGGCGAAACCCUGAUGCAGCGACGCCGCGUGAGUGAAGAAGUAUUUCGGUAUGUAAAGCUCUUUUAGCAGGGAAGAAGAAAGACGGUACCUGACUAAGAAGCCCCGGCUAACUACGUGCCAGCACCCGCGGUAAUACGCAGGGGGCAAGCGUAUUCCGGAUUUACUGGGUGUAAAGGGUGCGUAGACGGCUGUGUAAGUCUGAGGUGAAAGCCCAGGGCUCAACCCUGGGACUGCUUUGGAAACUGUGGAGCUAGAGUGCGGGAGAGGUAUGUGGAAUGCCUAGUGUAGCGGUGAAAUGCGUAGAUAUUAGGAGGAACACCAGUGGCGAAGGCGGCUUACUGGACAGUAACUGACGUUGAGGCUCGAAAGCGUGGGGAGCAAACAGGAUUAGAUACCCCAGUAGUC